Molecule: ribosomal RNA, 166 nt
Filed under: uncultured bacterium
Lineage: Bacteria
Description: partial 16S rRNA
Rfam family: Bacterial small subunit ribosomal RNA
Source: RNAcentral
UAGGGAAUCUUCGGCAAUGGGGGCAACCCUGACCGAGCAACGCCGCGUGAGUGAAGAAGGUUUUCGGAUCGUAAAGCUCUGUUGUAAGAGAAGAACGUGUGUGAGAGUGGAAAGUUCACACAGUGACGGUAACUUACCAGAAACGGGACGGCUAACUACGUGCCAG